UCCUCCUUGUGGGAGGCUGUCUCGCUAGAGAGAGUAACUAGCGACGAGGGUUGCGCUCGUUGCGGGACUUAACCCAACACCUCACGGCACGAGCUGACGACAGCCAUGCAGCACCUUCCAUGGCGCCCCGAAGGGAAGACCGCUUUCACGGCCGGUCGCCACAGAUUUAGCCCAGGUAAGGUUCUUCGCGUUGCAUCGAAUUAAGCCACAUGCUCCACCGCUUGUGCGGGCCCCCGCCAAUUCCUUUGAGUUUCAUUCUUGCGAACGUACUCCCCAGGUGGUAUGCUUACUGCGUUAACUGCGUCACUGCCCCCGAAGGGGCAACAACUAGCAUGCAUCGUUUACAGCGUGGACUAC
Molecule: unclassified non-coding RNA, 357 nt
Filed under: uncultured Bacteroidota bacterium
Lineage: Bacteria; Pseudomonadati; Bacteroidota
Description: uncultured Bacteroidetes bacterium contains 16S-23S intergenic spacer region
Source: RNAcentral